This 335-nucleotide unclassified non-coding RNA is filed under the name Mycobacterium intracellulare. Its description in RNAcentral is "partial 16S-23S ribosomal RNA intergenic spacer". The record is from RNAcentral. Lineage: Bacteria; Bacillati; Actinomycetota; Actinomycetes; Mycobacteriales; Mycobacteriaceae.
UACCGGAAGGUGCGGCUGGAUCACCUCCUUUCUAAGGAGCACCACGAAAAGCACUCCAAUUGGUGGGGUGCGAGCCGUGAGGGGUUCCCGUCUGUAGUGGACGGGGGCCGGGUGCACAACAGCAAAUGAUUGCCAGACACACUAUUGGGCCCUGAGACAACACUCGGUCGAUCCGUGUGGAGUCCCUCCAUCUUGGUGGUGGGGUGUGGUGUUUGAGUAUUGGAUAGUGGUUGCGAGCAUCUAGAUGAGCGCAAAGUCCUUGCGGCUGAUGCGUUCGUCGAAAUGUGUAAUUUCUUCUUUGGUUUUUGUGUGUAAGUAAGUGUUUAAGGGCGCAU